RNAcentral lists this microRNA precursor (75 nucleotides) under Schistosoma margrebowiei. RNAcentral's name for it is "mir-3492 microRNA precursor family". It matches the Rfam family "mir-3492 microRNA precursor family". The record is from Rfam by way of RNAcentral. Lineage: Eukaryota; Metazoa; Platyhelminthes; Trematoda; Strigeidida; Schistosomatidae.
AGACUUCUGUAUCUGUGCUGAGAUUUCGUCACACACCAGACCACAUGGGCUGAUGAGACCAUUACAAACUAAUUA